This 5655-nucleotide long non-coding RNA is filed under the name Salvator merianae (Argentine black and white tegu). RNAcentral's name for it is "lncRNA (ENSSMRG00000001996.1)". Lineage: Eukaryota; Metazoa; Chordata; Lepidosauria; Squamata; Teiidae. The record is from RNAcentral.
AUGGAAAGGCCACAAAGGGAUGAAUCUAUAUGUGUUUGUGCAAAGCAGUUAACCAUUGAUGUAGAAAGUUAUGAAACACCUCAUGAAAUGUACAGGCAUUUUCCUGGCACAUAUCAAGACACAGGAGAUUGGCAUCAUGCUGAGUUUUCAUAUCCAGAAUAUAACAGAAAUAGAUCUUCUGUGCAGAACUGCAAGGUUGUUCAGAACCCUCCAUCCUCUUCUUCUUCCUCCAGCUCCUUCUAUUUGCCUCGUUUAAAGCAUUUGCACUUACGUUCUCGUGCUCAGUACCUCUCUAAAGAGCCUACUGCUAAAGAGCUGCCAUGCACAAAGUCUGAUUCCUCAACUGUGCCAGAGAGCAAGUCAUCUGAUUCUCACUCUGAAUCAGAUGUUCCCUACAUGACAGAAGGGAGGAGCAAAGAUCUGAGUAUCCUCUUGCUUUCUAAAGGACAGCUGGAAGAAGUGAAAAGUGCCUCUCCCUGUCCACAAGAAGAUAAAUCCCAGCCUUUAGCUCCACCUGCAGAAAUAAACCUCAUACAGAGUACCUCUUUUGAAAAGCAAGACUGUGUACUUUUGGUGGAGAAGUCCCUUGGAAUCCAGUUGAGGCCUAUACCUCCUUCGAAUGAUGAAUUGAUUCCUUCCAAGCUGACACUGACCAGUCAAGUGGAGAGUGAGGGGAAAUCCACAGUUUUGGUCUUAUUGGAUACAAAUCAAACCUGUUGUGUUGAUAAGGAACAGGAGCAGGAGAAGGAUCUUGGUGGCACCCUGGAGAAGACUGUUCCAAAGUUAGCAUUUCAGACUAGUCAGCAGCCUUCACCAAGUGUGAGCUCCAGCUCUGUUUCAUCUCUGAAUGACUCUGAGGUUACUCCUUUUGUCCUAAAAGACAUGGAUGAGGAAAUUAGAGAUUUCCUGGAAUUUCAUGUUAAAAAGAAAAUGGUUCAGCGACAGUGUGGCAUGCCCACCAUUGUCGUCAAAUCUUUAAAACUCUUCCAUUUUCUGACUAGUGAAUUUAGCAGGGACCUUGUAAACCUCAAACAGAAGCCAAAGGAAAAAAAACCAUGCAUGCUAAUUCACGCUGAAAGACAAGUACCUCUUUCUUCUCUACGCAAAAAGGCAAAAUCUGUUUGUACUGAACCAUCUGUGCAAGAAUUUCCAGGAACCAGAGAGUAUUAUAUUAUACACUUUGAGGAGCCAGAGGAAACCAGGGAGCAUUCACUUCCCUUCAAGAUACUGGGCAAUAAAAUUAUAACUUCUCAGGGCAUCAAAAAGAAAUUUAUUCUCUUCUCAAUGGAGCCACAGGAACUGAGAAAACUUUCUUUCCACACAGUUGUGAAGAUGAUAGAAAUUAAAAAGAAGGCCUUUCCAGAUGUGGUUGAGGACUCCUUUAAAACCUUUAAUAUCCUUUCUGCAAAGUCCCUCCCCAAAUUAAUUCGUUUUGGCAAUAAAAUUCCCAGGGCAAAACAUCUAUCUCUGCCCUUCAUUGCUAGAGAAGCUCUUUGCAUCAUUGACUUGAACGUUAAGCACAAAUACCUGGUCUACAAAUGGAAGCUGCCAACAGUGUACACAGUGCCCAUACAAAAGAAAUCCUUAAUUGCUUCACAAGCAAGCAAGCCUGAAGUGAGCAUGGGGAAGGGGGAACCUCACAGACCAUGCAUUCCCAUAGUAAUGCUGAAGAAGCAUCCUGAGGGAGAAGUGACUCCAGAUGCGACACAUAUAGUUAAAACUCCAGUACCCACUAGUGCUAAAAAGCCUCCAGAGUCAACUAGUGCUAAAAAGCCUCCAAAAGUUAAAUUUGAAGUGAUUCUCUCAGAUAAGAGUCUAACACCAGAUGCACCCCUGGGACAAAAAAAGAUGCCUAAAGACCCUGCAACGGAGGCUUCUGGACAUCUUCCUACAGACGCUGCAUCACAGGCACAAGCAAAAAGAGAACUAAGCAUACCAUCACCAGAAAAUAAAUUCCCCAGUGAGGCUGUCCCACUAUCUUCUAAGAAGGAAGAAACAGUGAUAUACAGAAAAGGAACAGGAACAGAGAGUAGAGAAGAGGCUAAAAAGACAGAGACAGGAAGUAGAGAACCAAAGAGUGAACAGGAGUCUAAAAAGGAAGAAAUAUCCUUCCAAGUCCCAACAUCUUCAACAGGGAAGGAAGCAGAAGCUGCUGGAAGCAAAGAACAAAAGAGUGAACAGAAACCCAGGAAGGGGGAAGUGACUUUCCAGAUUAUCCCAUCUUCCACAGAGAAGGAAGCAGCAGCUGCUGGCAAGGAUACUGGGGCCAAAGAACAAAAGAGUGAACAGGAGCCCAAGAAGGAGGAACUGUCUUCCCAAGUUCUCCCAUCUUCCACAGGGAAGGAAGCAGAGACUGCUGGCAAGGAUACUGGGGGCAAAGAACAAAAGAGUGACCAGGAGCCCGAGAAGGGGAAAGUGCCUUCCCAGGUUCUCCCAUCUUCCACAGGGAAGGAAACAGUGGCUGCUGACAAGGACAAAGAAAAGAGUGAACAGGAGCCCAGGAAGGGGGAAGUGCCUUCUCAGGUUCUCCCAUCUUCCACAGGAAAGGAAGCAGCGGCUGUUGGCAAGGAUACUGGGGGCAAAGAACAAAAGAGUGAACAGGAGCCCAAGAAGGGGGAAGUGCCUUCCCAGGUUCUCCCGUCUUCCACAGGAAAGGAAGCAGAGACUCCUAGCAAGGAUACUGGGUCCAAAGAACAAAAGAGUGAACAGGAGCCCAAAAAGGGGGAAGUGUCUUCCCAGGCUCUCCCAUCUUCCACAGUGAAGGAGACAGCAGCUGCUGACAAGGACAAAAAACAAAAGAGUGAACAGAAGAUGAAAAAGGGGAAAAUGAAUUUCCAGGUUCUCCCAUCUUCCACAGGGAAGAAAGCAGCAGCUGCUGGCAAGGAUACUGGGGGUAAAGAGCAAAAGAGUGAACAGGAGCCCAAGAAGGGGGAUGUGCCUUCCCAGGUUCUCCCGUCUUCUACAGGGAUAGAGGCAGCAGCUGCUGACAAGGACAAAGAACAAAAGAGUGAACAAGAGCCCAAGAAGGGGGAAGUGCCUUCCCAGGUCCUCCCAUCUUCCACAGGAAAGGAAGCAGAGACUCCUAACAAGGAUACUGGGUCCAAAGAACAAAAGAGUGAACAGGAGCCCAAGAAGGGGGAAGUGCCUUCCCAGGUUCUCCCGUCUUCCACAGUGAAGGAGACAGCAGCUGCUGACAAGGACAAAGAACAAAAGAGUGAACAGAAGACCAAGAAGGGGAAAAUGAAUUUCCAGGUUUUCCCAUCUUCCACAGGGAAGAAAGCAGCAGCUACAGGCAAGGAUACUGCGGCCAAAGAACAAAAGAGUGAACAGGAGCCCAAGAAAGGGGAAGUACCUCCCCAGGUUCUCCCAUCUUCCACAGGAAAGGAUGCAACGGCUGCUGGCAAGGAUACUGCGGUGAAAGAACAAAAGAGUGAUCAAGAGCCCAAGAAGGGGGAAGUGCCUUCUCAGGUUCUCCUGUCUUCCACAGGAAAGGAUGCAACGGCUGCUGGCAAGGAUACUGGGGACAAAGAACAAAAAAGUGAGCAGGAGCCCAAGAAGGGGGAAGUGCCUUCCCAAGUACUCCCAUCUUCCACAGGAAAGGAGGCUGCAACUGCUGGAAAAGACACUAAAAGUGAAGAACCAGAGAGUGCUAAGGAGAAGGGGAAAGUGAGCUUCCAGAUUGCCUUACCUUCCCCUGAGAAAGCAUCAGCUGAUGGGAAAGAAAGUGAAAGCAAGGAAUCAAGAAGUGGCCAGGAAACGAAGAACGCACAAGUGCCCUCCCAGAUUCCUUCAUCUUCCAUGGGAAAGGAAGCAGUGGCUGAUGAAAGCAAAGAUUCAAAAAUGUGUCAGGAGGCACAAACAAGAGAAGUGCUUACCCAGAUUUCUCCUCCUCUUGAAAAGAAAGGUGAUGGGAAAGUUACCGAAAGUGGUGUUUCAUUCACUGGCAGGGAACUGAAGAAGGAGGAAGUGUGCUCCAAGAUUCCUCCACUUUCUGACUGGAAGGGACAUGAGGGCAAAGGCCAACGGGAUUAUCAUGAGAAAUUGAAAGGGGAACUGUGGCCUCAGAUCUCCCUGCCUUCUUUUGGGAGAGGACCAGAGGUCGAUGUCACCCAACCUAGGAACAAAGAAUCAAGGGAGAGUUGGGGAGAAUUGAAAGGGGAAAUGAGUUACAGGGUUCUCCCACCUCUUUAUGAAUGGGGAGGAGAAGCUGAUGGGGAGCAAACUGGAAUCCCAGAAUCCAUGAGUGAUCUGGCAGAGCUGAAAGGUGAAAUGUACUACCAGGUUCCUUACUCUUCCGUUGGGAAAGACACUCAGGCUGAUGGGAAAACAACUGGAAGAAAUAAAUAUGGGAAUGAUCCAAGGGAACUGUGUUAUCUGGUUCCCUACUCUUCUCCUGAAAAUGAAGCACAGGCUGUUCAGAAACAGUCUGCACAGAAAGAAACUGAAAAUGAUAUAGGAGAGCUAAGAGGAGAACUCCGCUACCAGGUUCCCUGCUCUUCAUCUGAGAAAAAAGCACAGGCUGACAGGAAACAAAGUAAAAAGAAGGAAUCUGGGAGUGUCCUGGGAAAGCUGGAAGGAGAACACUACUACCAGGUUCCCUGCUUCUCCUUUGAGAGAAAAGCACAGACUGAUGGGAAGUCACCUGGAAGGAAGGAAUCAGGAAGUCAUCCAGGGGAGCUGAGAGGAGAACUGUGCUACCAGGUCCUCCAGUCUGCCUUUGGGAAAGAGGCUGAUGGGAAACAAACUAGAAGGAAGGAAUCACAGAGUGGCCAGGGGGAAUUGAAGGGGAAUUUGCUGUAUCAGGUUCUGUCUACUGAGAAAGGAGAAGAGCCUGAUGGGAAAAGAUCUCAAAACAAGCUUGAUGGAAGGGUAACUGGAAUGAAUACAAGAAGCAGGCCAAGGGAGUUGGAGAAAGGAUCUUCCUCCAAGGGUCUCAUGCCUUCCUUUGACAAAAACAAAACCAAAAUUGAGAAAGCAGAGAUGAUUGAAAGGGGAGUUGGACCCAAGAUUGCAAAAACGUGGCAGAAAGAGGCCUCCAUUGUACGAACAAGCCUCUUCCUUGAACUGGAUGUGACAAAAGAAAAACUUAAUGUACACUUAAAGAAAAAAAUGGAAGCCAAGUUGAAGCCACUGCAGGGAGCUGAGCUGAGGCUUGAUGUUGGCUUUGGAAAGGAGGCAGAAAGGAAAACAAAGAAGUCAUCCCAUGAGAACUACCCUGUGGGCAGCCAGUCUCAGAAGAAACCUCGCAGACCUUUCUGCUAUGUCUGCAUGCCUGUGGAUGAUGCGGGGACGUCAGUAAAAACUGUCUGCUGGGCCCUUCCCAAGUGGAUCCUAGAAAUGAAUGGGAANCGGAUCCCUCAGGUUGCACGGUUUGAGAAUAGAUCAAAGAUCUAAGGNGCCAGUUCAGCAGCAAGUAUGUUCAGGCCCAUUUCUAGUUGGCNUUGCUGCUUUGUGCUGGGAAGACAAAUGGAAAGCAUGUGGGGAACUGUUGCAAGUAUGCAGUAAAUGUAAACAGAGAAGGAGAUUGCUUCAGAGGCAAAGGUUAAUGUGCAUCUAUGGGUGGGAAGAAACUAUUAAAGAUCCUACUUUAAACAUCGAACUCUUUGCUAAGCAUUCUGUGCUGUUUUACCAGCAUUGAACUAUCUUCAUAUCUUC